RNAcentral lists this small nucleolar RNA (212 nucleotides) under Carlito syrichta (Philippine tarsier). RNAcentral describes it as "Small nucleolar RNA U3 (ENSTSYG00000020759.2)". It matches the Rfam family "Small nucleolar RNA U3". Rfam says of the family: Small nucleolar RNAs (snoRNAs) are involved in the processing and modification of rRNA in the nucleolus. There are two main classes of snoRNAs: the box C/D class, and the box H/ACA class. Lineage: Eukaryota; Metazoa; Chordata; Mammalia; Primates; Tarsiidae. The record is from Rfam by way of RNAcentral.
CAGACUACACUUUCAGGGAUUAUUUCUAUAGUUCGUGACGAGAAGCUUCGCUGAACAUGUAGAACACCAGAAGCCAUGCGGAGGAGGUGCAGGGUUCUCUCCUGAGCGUGAAGCCGGCUCUUGGUGCUACUUGGUGCUGUGGCUGCCAUUUGCCUUUCAUGGUUGCUUUUCUCUUCUGGGAGAGUGGAGGGAGAGGAUGCAGUCUGAGUGGU